UCUCGUCACGCCCUCUCAUCUUCCUUCGCUUUUGCUUUUUACACCUUUCCCCCCGUUUUCUCCCAUUAUCUCUCUUUCUCAAAACCCUUUUUUUUUUCGAACCUCUCUGUCUCUUUUCCCACAAGAUUCUCCAUCAAAAUUAGGAAAAAACUUCUAGAGUUUUCUCUUCUCCGAAGAUUAUUUUUUUUAUAUCCAUAAACAUCAAAUAGAAAUAUUUAUAUCUGUCUUUCUACUUCUCUUACAAUAACCCAUUUUGGUUUUGUUAACUAUAAGCUUAAUCUUUAUUUGCUUUGAUUUUGGGCGGAAUUUUUUAGGUGGAAUUUUUUUCCUCUCUCCCUUUUGCGAUGCAGUCUGAUCUUUAUCACCGUCUCAUUUGAUGAUUACUUUUUUAUUAGUUAAUGGCUCUACCUCUAUCUUUCUUCUUCAUAUUUCAUUUAUUAGUCAGGUAGUGCUUAUGAAAUUCUGCACAAGUAAUAAUACGUUAAUUUAACAUAAUAAAAAGUUAUCUUACACUAUUAUUUAUACAUUAUGUAUGGUGUGUAAGAAUGUAUAUGUAAUAUAUAGGGAUAAAGUACUAUUACUCCCUGAACUAUACCCUAUGUUCCUACGACACACCUUUCCUUUCACUGGUCCUAUUACCCCUCUAAUCUAUUUUUUUCCCUUAAUUCUUUGCACCUUUAACGCUGACGUGGACCAGUGCAUGCGAACAAAUAUGUUAAGCGCGUAAGGAGUAAAAAAAAAAGAGGUUAUAGCGAAUGGGAAGUGACCACGUGUCACUCCCAAAGUCCAUUUGAAGACUACUUCGCCCAAAACACACUUAAUUUCAUCAACUCCAUUACAAAUUUUCACCCAUUUGCAAGAGCUGAUUUUGGUGGCAAAUUUUGCCAUUUUCGAUCAGGUUAGGAAUGGCGAAUAGCUUGUUGAAUAAGUUGUGUAUGGACGAAGAAGAUGCAAAUGCUCAAUGCCGAAGUGCGAUGCAAACAUGGCAUUUUGCUGAAAAUGCAUACUUCUUGGUCUGACCGCAAUCCCGGGAGGAGAUUUUGGCCACCAAUAACAAGUUUUUCAAAUGGAGAGAGAUAAGCAAAGUGUUGAUGAAGGAUCAAAGUUUAUUAUUCCAAGAUUGGUAAAAAAAAAAAAUCAAGGAGUUAGAAGAAAAUUACGAGCGUGUUAGGUUGCAUUUGGCUGAGCUUGAAAGUUUUAAGAUGCAGUAUGAUAAUCCCAACAUGAAUUCACUUGAACUUGAAGAUUCAAAAGAGGAUGAAAUUCAAUUGGAUGAGCUUGAAAGUCUUACUCUUCAAUAUGAUAAUCUCAACAUCAAUUCGGUUGAGCUUGAAGAUUCAAAAGAGAUAGGUGAUUUGAAUGAGGUUGAAGUUUCAAAAGAGGAUAAGAAUGAUUUGGCUGAGCUUGGAGAUUCAAAAGAGAAGAGUAAUUUGAAAGAGAAUGAUAUGAAUGAAAAAAGAAAAGCAACUCGUGUAGGUUUAAUAGAACAAUCCUUUGGUGUUUGAUGGUUUAUGUAUUUGUUGUGUAUCUUAGUGGUUUAAUCCAAAUAGGCAACUUGAAAAAAAAUCAAAUGAAGUUUCCAUAGUACUAAUAGAACCUCAUUUUGGUUGUUGUAAUGGAACUUCAAUGAUCUCGGAUAGGCUAAAGUUAGAUUUGUUUUGUUGUAAAGUACAUUUUGGUAUUAUAAUGAAGCAUUAGUUUGGAAUUUUAAUGGUGGUGUUGUAGCUAAACUUGUU
Long non-coding RNA from Lycium barbarum (goji berry), 1736 nucleotides. RefSeq lists it as uncharacterized. Lineage: Eukaryota; Viridiplantae; Streptophyta; Magnoliopsida; Solanales; Solanaceae. The record is from RefSeq and is a predicted model, not a curated record. The transcript is spliced from 3 exons.